RNAcentral lists this unclassified non-coding RNA (320 nucleotides) under Zea mays. Its description in RNAcentral is "misc RNA Zm00001eb203490". Lineage: Eukaryota; Viridiplantae; Streptophyta; Magnoliopsida; Poales; Poaceae. The record is from RNAcentral.
UGCAUGCAGCAGGGCAGGGAUUCUAAAAUCCAGGAAGGUCUGGUCAAGGAGAUUAGAUGCUUCCGUUGCUCUCAAUCUGGACACCAUCAAGCUGACUGCCCGAAUGACCCUCUAUGCUACAAAUGUAAAGAGUCUGGGCAUAUGGCGGCGGAAUGCCAAAAUAACAAGAAACUUAGGUUGUUUGGAUUUGGAAUUCCGGAGCAGGGCUUCUUUGGUUUUGAUAUUCCUGAGAAAAAAGUGCAGGUGAAUAUGUUGAAUGCUGUUAUUCACAUUCUUGAGGGGGAACCCACAGAAGAGAAAUUGGACAGAGAGCUUAAAAU